GAUUAAAAAAAAAAAAUAGACUGACCCCCACUAUAAACUUUGUAAUUAUAUAAAAUAAACUAAUAACCAACUUAUUGCUUCGUAUUGUCGAGAUCCCAAGAAACGGUCACUAUAUGAAUGAGUGGAUCUAUCAUAUGGUUGUAGCAACUGAAAUUCUUUCAAGAAAAAAUAAAUCUGAUUAUGGGUUGUAAAGCAAAAAAAAAAAAUAAAGGGAUAUGGAUAAAUGGAAGGAUGAUAGAAAGAAAGAACAAAAAUAUCAAUGAUAUAUGAUUCCAAUAUGUAUGGUCUAUGAAUCACGUCAUAAAAGGCAGUGUGAUAAAGCAUCAAUACUGAUAAGAUAAUUAGAAAUAUAAGAAUUUGUAAAUGAAAUAAUUUUAAAUAGAAUAAAAUAAUAAAGAGCAUUCGGGUUAAUAAAAACUGAGGAUAUUGACUCGGGAACGAAUUUUGUUGGAAGCUCUAUGGUUACGAUUUUGCCAGAUAUGUCUUUUUGAUUCCGUC
RNAcentral lists this long non-coding RNA (498 nucleotides) under Ananas comosus (pineapple). Its description in RNAcentral is "long non-coding RNA (ACOM_LNC035772)". Lineage: Eukaryota; Viridiplantae; Streptophyta; Magnoliopsida; Poales; Bromeliaceae. The record is from RNAcentral.